AUGGCAGAAUGCUUCAAUAAGGUGCUCAAGGGUGUACGUGCAUUACCCGUGACGGCAAUAGUUCAAUACACAUUUGACAAGAUGAAUGAAUACUUUUUGAAGCACUCAAUGGAGACUGAUAAGCAGAUUGCUGGUGAGAACAAGGAUAAGCACAAGUACAAUUUCCCACCAAAGGUUGAAGAAUGGUUGGAAUUUCAAUCACGAAAGGCAGACUCCGAAGAAGCUGUUCUAUAUGACGACAACGAGUGGAAGUAUGAGGUGAAAGAGCCCGGAGGAACCACAAAUGAUGGCCGUCAGCACGGAGGCCGGGCUUUCAAGGUCUCCCUAACACGGUGCGAUUGCAGCUGCAUGAGGCCGUCUUUGCUUCAUCUCCCAUGCUCGCACUUGUUAAAUGCAUCCCGGGUUAGGAAUGUGGACGUCAAUCACAUCUAAAUGAUUAGUCAUACCUCUUGGGUGAUCCCACCCUCAUCAUCCACAUAA
Molecule: ribosomal RNA, 480 nt
Filed under: Triticum aestivum (bread wheat)
Lineage: Eukaryota; Viridiplantae; Streptophyta; Magnoliopsida; Poales; Poaceae
Description: partial small subunit ribosomal RNA
Source: RNAcentral